This 5251-nucleotide unclassified non-coding RNA is filed under the name Hevea brasiliensis (rubber tree). Lineage: Eukaryota; Viridiplantae; Streptophyta; Magnoliopsida; Malpighiales; Euphorbiaceae. The record is from RNAcentral.
GUAUGCUCUGUCCAUCGUUGUUCAGUUCGCCUUCCAAUAGCAUCCCCUUCGUUUUCUCCCCAAUCUCAUCUCAAUCAAAUUCAAAAUCCAUUCGAUUAAAACCCUUAAAAGAUCUGCUUAAUUCGACCUCAAUUCAUUCAAUUUCAUUUUCUAAUUCAAAUUCGUCAUGCUUCUCAUCUGAUACUCAGUGAUUCUGCUGGAUUAUUUUUGAACAUGAAGAGAGAGCUAUCUUUUGUGGUUGGAGUUCAGUCCCAGCUUGCUGGCUCACUUGGUCUUAGCCAUGGUCUCCCAAUUGAUACACAGUCGCAGCAGGAAGUAUCUGAGGACGGUGACUGUAAGAGACUCAAAGUUGCUAAGAUAAAUGGUUUCAUUGUUUAUUCUCGAGUGAAGAAGAGUAGAGCUAGUGAAUGUGAUAAAAUCAGUGAGGAUGUACUAAAUAAAAGGAUUAAUACCCAUGAGGAGCCACAAUUUGAUGUAACCAAUAGAAUAAAUACUUCGCUUGAUGAGGAUUGGAAGUGCCCAGUAGUUGAAACUGUAAUUGAAGAGAAUCAAGCGGUGGUUGGAACUGUAUGCAGAGACCAAUCAAUUUGCAAUGUGGAAUUGCCCGUUUGUGAAGAUGAAACAGUGAGUGAGCCUUGGCCAAUUCUAGUCAAGGAAGGAGGCACUAAGGGUGCGCAAAAAUUGGUUGCUGAGGGUAAUGAGGUGAAGAGCAAUAAGCUGAGACGGUUGACGCGGUCAAGUUUGAAGUUUAAGGUAGAGCCUGUGGAGGUAAAAGUUAAUGGAUUAGAAGAUAUUGACAGCAAAAUGAUUUCAAAGGUAGAUGUGGAGAUUGUAGCUGAAGGAAGUGCGUUGACCCCUCCAAAGAAGAAUUUAGAAUUGAAAAUGUCAAAAAAGAUUGCAUUGGAUAAUGUGCCGAUGACAGUCAAGGAGCUUUUCGAGACUGGUUUGCUUGAGGGGGUUCCAGUUGUUUACAUGGGCGGCAAGAAGUUUCAGGCAUUUUGUCUCCGGGGUACAAUCAAAGAUGUUGGAAUUCUGUGUUCGUGCUCUUUCUGCAAGGGACGUAGAGUUAUUCCGCCUUCCCAAUUUGAGAUUCACGCCAUCAAUCAAUACAGACGCGCAGCACAGUACAUUUGUUUUGAGAAUGGGAAGAGUCUGCUUGAUGUUCUGAAUGCAUGCCGCCUAUCUCCUUUGGAUUCUCUAGAAGCAACAAUCCAAAAUGCCAUUAGUGGUUUGCCAAAAGAGAAAACUUUCACUUGUAAGAGAUGCAAAGGUACAUACCCUACAAUUUGUGUUGGCAAGAUAGGGCCUUUAUGUGAUUCAUGUGUAGAGUCAAAGGAAUCUAAUGGUAGCCCAGCCUGUGAAACUGGUAUAAAGGCUAGCUUAGCCGAGCCAGUUUUAUCUGUGGAGUCCUCUGGAAGUGCUUCUGUGUCUACCCUCUCUCAAGAUAAUACUCUAAGGAAGAUAACUAGAAAGUCAUCAAAACGAGAUUUAAACACAAAGUUGUUAAGGAGUGUGCCAGUGCGAAUGUCUUCAAGGAAAAAGAGUGACUUGAAAAUAACAACAAAGUUGGUAUCUUAUUUAUCUUGUUGUCUAGCUUGGUAUAACAUAUUCCUGGCUUAAGUCUCAGCUUUUCAUUUUGUGCUAGUAAUUAAUGUUUCUUCUUCUUUGUUCUAAAAUCUAAAACCUUGUGGAAGACAUAAAUAUAUGUUAAAUGGUGUUUCCGUGUGCACUUGGUUGGUGGGAUAUUGUAAUGCAGAGAUUUUGUAAAUUAAACUUUGUUUAUUCAGGUUGUCAGAACUAGAGAUCAUGACAAAAUCCUCAAAAAAUGCUUCUCUGCAUCUUUCCUCACGGAAAAGGAAGGAAUGGAAGAUAACACUGAGGUUUUUUUUUUUAAUUUUUUUAUCCCCGUAUUGUGAUGUAGAUUUGAUGUCUGCUUAUCAUGUUCAGUUUUAGGUUCUCUCUCUCUUUCUGUCAAGUAGAUAAUAUCCUUGGUUCUCAAAUAGGAUGAGAGGCGAAAGGAUAAUUAUUAUGAGAUGAUAUGACUUCCCAUUUUCCUUUUUCAUGGUGCACUUCCUCUUUUUUUCAGGACGCCAAAACCAGCUGUAGUAUCAAAGUACUUGAAAAGUGCAUCAGUGGGUGUCUCUUCACAAAAUAAGAGCCAGUGGAGAAUAACAACAAAAGAUCAGAGGUUGCACAAAUUGGUUUUUGAGGAAGGUGGAUUGCCUGAUGGGACUGAAGUAGCAUACUAUGCUCGUGGGCAGAAAUUGCUUGUGGGUUACAAAAGGGGCUUUGGAAUACUUUGUUGUUGCUGCAACUGUGAGGUACUUCUCAUUUGAACUUCACAGUUCCUUAAAAUUUCAUCAGACACACUGGCAAUAUUUAUAACUUAUGUGCAGGUCAGCCCCUCAACGUUUGAAGCUCAUGCAGGGUGGGCUACUCGCAAAAAGCCGUAAGCUUAUGAUGGGAUACCUGAUAGGUUUUGACGUUAAGCCUUCCCCCUUAAUAGCUAUAUAAAGUCAUCAUUGUGUUUUCUUUACAGGUAUGCUUAUAUUUACACUUCUAAUGGUGUGUCACUUCAUGAACUGGCAAUAUCACUAUCAAAAGGUCGCAAGUAUUCUGCUAAGGACAAUGAUGACCUGUGCAUCGUCUGUGCAGAUGGUGGGAGUCUUGUUCUGUGUGAUGGAUGCCCAAGGGCCUUCCAUAAAGGAUGUGCAUCUCUAUCAAGUAUUCCCCGCGGUAAAUGGUUUUGCCAAUUUUGCGAGAAUAUGUUCCAAAGGGAAAAGUUUGUAGAACAUAAUGUCAAUGCUGUUGCAGCUGGAAGAGUUUCUGGAGUUGAUCCUAUAGAACAGAUAACCAAGAGAUGCAUUCGUAUUGUCAAAAACAUAGAAGCAGAACUUAGUGGAUGUGUGCUAUGCAGAGGUUAUGAUUUUAGCAGAUCUGGAUUUGGUCCACGCACAAUUAUACUUUGUGAUCAGUGUGAGAAGGAAUUUCACGUGGGCUGUCUGAGGAGUCAUAAAAUGGCAAACCUAAAGGAAUUGCCAAAAGGGAAGUGGUUUUGUUGCCUGGAUUGUGGCAGGAUCCAUUCUACUUUGCAGAAGUUGCUAGUCCGGGAAUCUGAAAAACUCCCAAUCUCUCUUUUGAAUGUUAUAAAGAAGAAGAAUGAGGAGAAAGGUUUGGAAACCAUUAAUGAUAUUGAUGUGAGAUGGAGGCUUCUUAGUGGAAAAAUUGUUUCUCCUGAAACUAAAGUGUUACUUUCACAAGCUCUUACUAUCUUCCAAGUAAGUACUGACCAUGUAGAUAAAAUGUAUGCCAUCGGUUGCCUAUAGCUUGAUGCUACCGACAGCAAUUAAUGCAGAAAUUAUUUGUUGUGUUUAGAUAUGUGCAGACAUUGUUUUGUGAUUCUUUACCUAAUUGUUUGAUGCAUCUUUUUUUUUUUUUUUAAUCUUUUUCUUUUAUUUGGUCUGUAUGUAGAGAAUGCUCGCUCUGAUGUAAAGUUGAAUGGUUACUUCACAUUGUGACUGUCAUAUGCAGUACUAAUUACAAUACCAUUUUCUAUUUCCCUGGCUUUGCUCAAUCGACAUUUUGUAACAUAUGCAGGGAGGGAAUGAAUAUAAUACUCGAUUUCUCAUAUCUGCUAAUGCGGCAAUAAAUCACGAUGCCUUUUUUUUAUUAUUUUUUAUUUCCCUGUCUUUGUUCAAUGUGAAUGAAAGAGCCAUGAUGAGCAUUAUUUCACUGAAAUUAAUAUAAUUAUGUUUCAGGAAUGUUUUGAUCCCAUAGUCGAUACAACUGGACGUGACCUCAUUCCUUUGAUGGUUUAUGGGAAGAAUUCUACGGGCCAAGAUUACGGGGGAAUGUACUGUGCAGUACUAGUUGUCAACUCAUUUGUUGUAUCAGCUGGAAUACUUAGAAUUUUUGGGCAAGAAGUUGCUGAACUUCCCUUAGUUGCAACAAGUAAUGGCAACCAUGGGAAGGGCUAUUUCCAAUUAUUGUUCUCCUGCAUCGAGAAGUUGCUGGCUUUUUUAAACGUUCAGAGCCUUGUGCUCCCAGCUGCUGAAGAAGCAGAAUCUAUAUGGACUGAUAAAUUCGGUUUUCAAAAGAUAAAACCUGACCAGAUUAGCAAUUACAGAAAAAGUUGUUGUCAGAUGGUGACCUUCAAAGGGACUUCUAUGCUGCAGAGAAUGGUUCCUGCUUGUAGAAUUGUUAAUCAAAAUGCUGGGUCUGUAGGAGUAUUGUAAAGAAGUGGUAUGAGCUAUUUUUUGGCUAAGAGAGAAAAAGAAGCAUAGUGUUUACAUUUCAAUUUUUAUUUUAUUUUUUCUGUUUUAUUUUUAUUUUUUUUUUUGAAAAUGUGUGUACAGAAUUAGGUAUUUAAGGGAGGUAUAUAUAUAUCUGGAGGAAGCAAAUGCUACUCAUUUGUGCUGACCACUUUAUCAAACAUGUCAGAUCUAUGAUGCAAUAUUCAUCUGCCGGAUCAUCAUUUUACCGGACUGUCAACCCAGAUUUUCCUGAGAAAGUGCGUUGAUUGCGAAAGCUCUUACUAUACCAAAUUGAACAUUAUAGUUCCUAUAUUUUAGAAGUAACUUUAGGUGGAGGUUAUAAUUUUGUUCAACUGCUGUGAUAAUCCUUUGUUUUGUGUUCGAAAUCUCUGGGGUUAAACAAGUAUUCGACCAAUGGAAUAUAGGUGUAAUCAAGAAGCCCUUGCAGCGGAACUUCUGUAUUCCUCAUGAGGGAUGGGGUUAGGGUUGCUCAUUCUGACUUAUCCCACUAAGGGUAUGCCGCAAUUUUUCUGCAGACAAUUGUCUUCUGAUAAAAGCUCGUUUGAUUCUUUGAUUUAUCUUCUAUAUGGAAACAAUAUCAUUUUGUAGGCGGUUCCACCGCCCAAUUCCACUAUCUAAAAUUGGCAUGGUAGCAUAAGCUCCACAUCUUUCACCAUGAGCAUAAUGAACCUCACACCCCACUAAGCACUUACGCACAAGUCCUGGCUGGCUGUGGAUGGGAUCCGGCGAUUCAUGGAUGAGAAAGGAAGUGAUUUGGAACUGGACCGGCCUUAGGUGGUAUCAGCAGGUUUCGAUUGAAGACGGUGUAGGUUGGUAUGGUUCAAUGGUGAUUAUGGUUCUAGUUUUUGGGGAGUUCGAUUCAGGUGGUAAUUUCUUGCUUUGGUCGUGUUAUUCUUGAACUGACCCAUGGCUAUUAUACUUCUCUUUGCCUUAAUCAUCAUUGUCUUUCCCUUUAAGAACCAACAUUCUCAAUCUUU